RNAcentral lists this ribosomal RNA (596 nucleotides) under uncultured archaeon. Its description in RNAcentral is "bacterial SSU rRNA". It matches the Rfam family "Archaeal small subunit ribosomal RNA", at positions 47 to 649 of the family's 1478-position model. The record is from RNAcentral.
AGCCAUGCGAGUCGAGAGGGUUCGGCCCUCGGCUGACGGCUCAGUAACACGUGGAAAACUGCCCUUAGGUGGAGGAUAAUCUCGGGAAACUGAGGAUAAUACUCCAUAGAUCUAGGAUGCUGGAAUGCAUCUAGAUUGAAAGCUCAGGCGCCUAAGGAUGAGUCUGCGGACUAUCAGGUUGUAGUCAGGGUAAAGACCUGACUAGCCUACGACGGAUACGGGUUGUGAGAGCAAUAACCCGGAGACGAUAUCUGAGACACGAUAUCGGGCCCUACGGGGCGCAGCAGGCGCGAAAACUUCACACUGUGCGAAAGCGCGAUGAGGGAAUCCCAAGUGUUUGCUCGUAAGAGUAAACUGUUUCUUUGUUUAAAACGCAGAGAGAGUAAGGGCUGGGUAAGACGGGUGCCAGCCGCCGCGGUAAUACCUGCAGCUCGAGUGGUGAUCAUUAUUAUUGGGCCUAAAACGUCCGUAGCCGGUUUAGUAAAUGCCUGGGUAAAUCGUGUAGCUUAACUAUACGACUUCCGGGUAGACUGCUAAACUUGAGACCGGGAGAGGCUAUAGGUACUCCUGGGGUAGAGGUGAAAUUCUGUAAUCCU